This 13274-nucleotide long non-coding RNA is filed under the name Vitis vinifera (wine grape). RNAcentral describes it as "long non-coding RNA (VVIN_LNC006759)". The record is from RNAcentral. Lineage: Eukaryota; Viridiplantae; Streptophyta; Magnoliopsida; Vitales; Vitaceae.
GAGAUAUUAUAUUCAACAUUAGCAAUAGUAAUAUACACAUGUGACAAAUGAAUCAUAAAUUUGUUUUGUAGUUUUCAAACUUUUUUUCUUCUGAUUUUUAGUUUUUCAAAGCAAUUCUUGCUAGGUAUCAUUGAUUUCUUUGGCCUAAUUUCCCAAAUAUAAGGCUAAUUCUUGAAGUCUUGAUUAACAUGCUACUGCUUAUGGACAUUAUUAGCCUUUAUUAUAUUUGGUUUCCUUUUGCAAUAUUUUGUUAUUACCAUAAGUCUAGUUAUUUAUAAGCUAAAGAGCAAAUGAAAUUUGACUAGUUUUGAACUUGAAAUUGUCCAUGUUGAAUAUUUUCUCUUAAUCUCUGAUGUUCGGGUGAUAAACCUUGAAUGGGAUGGCGAGGAUAAUGGUUAAGAACAUUUUCUAAUUUUUGCUUGGAAAGCAAUUGAAGAAAAAACAAAAAAGGAGAAAAGGGAGGGUAAUAGAGAAUGGUAAGAUAUAUUGACUUUGGAAAAUUAAAUGAAAUUCAUUUCUCAUCCAUUUCAAACUUGGCCUAUUAUUGUCAAAAAUUAAAAGGAAAAGUGUUGUAAGUUAUAGUAAUGCUAGCGCAUGUGUUCUUAGGUGUCUACCUUUGACAUAGAGAUUCAACCAUUUUUUUAAAUGGGCCCAUGGUCAUCUUUGGCUCUUAAUCUUUUUCUCUAAUUAGAAAGGAAACUUCAUAAGCUGAGCAGUGGCAAUUUGCUGAUGACCCAAAGAAUAUGAUUUUAUGUUGGGAGUUGUUUGUUUUAGUUGGAUAAGCUAAACGAAAGUUGUUGUCUCCUUAAUAUGGACAUAUAGACUAUCUUGCACACUUGGUUUAUUUAGGGCAUUCCCUCUCCUUAUAGAUUCACAAUGUUAGUAAAAACUUUCUGAUUGUCUUUUGAAAAAUUGCUAAUCUUGUUUUGAAAAGUUUCUAAUUUUCUUUUGAAUUGAAUAAAACUCCAACUUGAUCCAUGAAUAAACUUGAUCUCAUCUUAGGCAUCAUUUGAUGCAUUUCUUGUUUUUAGUUGUGACCAAUUUGCCUUUUCAUGUCAAAUUGGCCCAUUUAUUUAACUGUAUCAAACUAACCCAUUUAUUUAGUCAUGUCAAAAUGACCUAUUUACUAAAUCAUGUGAAAACAAUUUGUUUACUCAAUCACAUCAAAACGACCCAUUUAUAUAAUUGCUUCAAAAUAAUCCAUUUACUUAAUAUUGUUAAUUAUCCGAUUACUUAAUCAUGUCAAAAUGAUUCGUUUACUUGAUCAUGUCAAAAUAAUCUGUUUACUUGAUCAUGUCAAAAUGACCUAUUUACCUAGGGGUCUCCAACGGUCGGGCCGGGCCGUAAAUAGGAGGCCUGCGGCCCAGCUCGGGCCGGGCCUAUGGGCCCGUUGACUGGUCAACGGGUCGGGCCGGGUCGGGCCAUGCUAAAAUGCUAGGUCCGCGGCUCGGCCUAUGAGCCCGCGGGCUGGCGGGUGGGUCAGGCCGGUGGGCUUUUUGAAUUAAGCCAAAAUGGCUUUCAAAAAAACCAAGGGAAGGGAGAGGGAGGGAUUCGAACCGCUCCCUUCAUGUUUAAACUUUAAGCUUCUAAUCAGCUAAACUACAUUCUUUUUAUGUUUAUUAAUUGAGUUAGUUAUAUAUAUAUAUAAAUAAAGUAUAUUAUUUUUAAAAAAAAAAUUAAAGGCUCCAACCCAUGUGAUCGUUGGAGCUAAGCCUCCAACGGUCACAUGGCCAAUUAUUUUGAAUUUUGAAUUUUUUUUUUUAACCUUCCUAUAAAUACAUUUUCUUCCUUUUCAUUUUUUCAUCAAAUUCUCUCUAUUUCUCUCACAUUCUACAAUAUUUCAAAUUCUUUUAUUUUUCCCUCAAAUUAUAUAAUAUUGUUGGUGGUGCAAAACAAGCAUUGGUGGCUCUAAGAGUUCAAAUUGUGGACCCUAGAUUGAAAUUUGAAGCUUUGGAUGAAUGGUUAACAAUUAUUUAUUUUAAUGACCAAAUAAAAAUUGAAGAAAUUAAAAAUGAAAUAAAUUCAUUAUUAUAUAAUUUAUAUAACUAUUAUAAAGAAAAAUAUGGUAAUGAUAUUAAUACUAUUAAAUUACCACCUACAUCUACAAACUCCUCAUCUUUUUAUAAAGAAGCUCUAGAAAUGUUGAAAAAUCGAAAAAAAACAACAAAUAGUUCUUCAAAUAAUACAUCUGAUUUAGAUAAAUAUCUUAAUACUGAUAUAAUUUCAUUUGAAGAUCAAAAAGAUUUUGAUAUUUUAAUAUGGUGGAAAUCACAUCAACACAAAUAUCUUGUGCUUUCUAUAAUUGCUCGUGAUGUACUAACAGUUCCUGUGUUUUUAGUGCAGGUGGAAGAGUUAUUAGUAAAAAACGAUGCAACUUAGCGUCAGACGUUAUUGAAGCAGGGAUAUGUGUAAAAGAUUGGGAAAUAGCAGAUAAAAGGAUGUACGAUUCCAUUCGAGAAACAGAGAUGCUUGCCAAUAUGGAAUCUUUAAAACUAUCAAGAUCUUCAUGGAUGCAUGAUAGUUCGCCAUCACCGCCAGAAAAUAAUGACUAAAUGUAUAUUAUAUUUUUAUUUUUAUUUUUUGUAGUUGAAAAAUACAGAUGAUUGACAAAUAAAUAGGUGUCAACCUAGUUGGGAUGUAUUUAUUUUGUAGUGAUGUAAAUUUUUCCCAUAUUUUCAAAUGUAAUUAUACAUUUAAUGAAUAAAAUUUUGAAAUGAAUAUUUUUUUUAAUACUUUUUAUUUUUGUAGUCUUUUUUUAAAGGGAAAGGCCUACGGGUCGGGCCGGCCCGUCGGGCCUAAUUUCGGCCCACCCAGAAACGGGCUUGAGCCAGACAGGCUUGGGCCGGGCCGGGCCUAAAGCGGGCCACGGGCUUUUUGAAGACCCUUGUAUUUACCAGAUCAUGUCAAAAUGACCUCUUUACUUAAAUCAUGUUAAAAAGAUCCAUUUAGUUAUUUGUGUCUAAAUGAUCCAUUUAUUAUCGAAUCCAUUUAGGACCAAUUUAACCCAUAUAAAUUUAGUAAUUUUAUAUAUUUAAAAAUUAUUAAUAUUUAUUUAUUUAUUUAUUUAUUGCUAGUUUUUGUUUAUCUAGAAGACUUUCCUCGAAGUCUUUACUUAUAAAUAAAUAAAUAAAUAUUUAAUUUUUUUAAUUAUAAAUAUCAUGUAAUUUAAAAGAUCAAAUAAAUAAUUAAGUAAGAUUUUAUAUAUUUCAUUAUAAAAAUUAAAAAUAUUUUAUAAUUAAAACAUUAAACAAGCGUAGAAUUAAAUUUUAAUUUAUUUUUAUAUCAUAAACAUGUUGGAAUCAUGUUAUCAGGUUAAAAGGGUUACAAUCAUCUUAAUUGGUUGAACAAGUUAAAAUCGUGUGAAUAGGGGUUUAAUGGGCUAGAAUCGUGUUAGUUGGUUAUUUGUGUCAAUUCUUACAUAGGUCAAUUUAACUCAUUCAUUAAAUGGGUGGUGUCAUGUUACAAAUGUUAAAAUCGGGUUGGGUUCACAUCAAGUCAUCUUGAUAUGAUUAUAAAACGAGUUGCAUUGAUGUUGAGCAAAUUGUCAUUACUCAUUCAUUAAACAAGUCGUGCUUAUGUCAAGUCAUUUUGAUAUUAUUGUUAAACGAUUUGUAUUUAGGUUGAGCAAAUUUUCAUUAUUUCUUAUAAAAAUACAAACCCGACACAACACCACCUAUUGCCACCACUAACCAAAAACGUGAUAGAAUAUGUUAUUCUACCUCUUAACCUAUCCCAUGAUAUAUUUAUGUAGUGGAUCAAAGAUAUAUGUCUAGUUUCAAAAAGUAAUACAAGAAGAAAAAAAAAAAGAUAAGGAAAAUUAUUGGAGAAUACAAAAGAGAUCAAAUAUAAUUAAAAUUAAUUAAAAACUUAAAUAGUUUCAAAUUAUUUAAUAUUUAUAUAGAACAAUAAGUGAAAUAAAUUCAAAGUAGCAACAUAAAAAAACUGUUAAUUUUAAAUUUAUUUUUUAUUUUCCCUUGAGAUUUCCCUCGAGAAUCAAGCAUAGCCUACUCUUUAAUUUAUUUUUUUUCAGAUUUUUUUUUCUCAAAUUUUUUGAAGGAUAAAUGUUAAAAAAAAUUACAAUGUGGUAAAAUAUUGGAAGGAAAAAAGUGGUAUUAACCUAAUUAUACAAAGGGACUUGACCUACCAAUCGAGUUUUUUUGCAUUUGGCAAUUUGCUACUUAUGCUUGAGAAAGUUACCUUGAAAGCCACUAGACUUUGAUUAACUAAUGCAAUGUUUGGGCUAAUUCCAUAAUUGUCCUCAUUGAAUUUCAGAUGGAAGAGUCUAGUUUUACUCAGCUUGCAAUUUCAAAAAUGUGCAUCCGAAUUCAGUUGAUCCCAAUGAAGAACACAGUCCUCCAUAUUACAAUUUGGAUUAACCAAAUUAAUGAUAUGGAAUAGAUUUUACAAUUUCAUUGGUGUUCACCCUUACUGCAACAACCUAAUAUGAAAGGUAAUGCGCCUUUACAGAUUAUAGUGAGGAUUUGAAUGAAUAUAUGGAGAAUGGGGUUGGAGCAGAUAUGGUGAUGCUGAGGAUGACAAAUUUGGAGAAAGAAACAACAUUACACCAAGUAGUGUAAUAUCAUUAUCUCCAAGGAAUGAAGUUUGUUAUCGAAGAAGACCUCGAAUUUACCUAUGGUGCUAAUGAUACGAGGUCGAUUCUUCUUUACAUGGUUGCUGAGAGGGGGUUUGAAGACAUUAAAUAUGAUCAUCUACUUGCAUUUCACCAACUUAGUGUUAUCAUUGGUAGAACGGCCUUGCAUGAUACCAUAGUUUUCAAUGAUAAAGGUAAUAUAUAUGUGAUUUUUUUUUUUUUUUAACUUGAAAUCCUCAUAUGACCAGAUGUCUUAGUAUUGUAAUCAAAAUUAAAUAUUUAUCCUCCAUUUUUUAUAUUUUUUAAUAUAGGUUUACUUCCUACACGUGAGAAAUAUCAUGGCAUAAGUGGAGUCGGAAAAAGGUAUGAAUAAUGUAUUUACUAUAUUAAGUGAAAUAAUGUUUUAUAAAGUUCUAUAAUGUAUUUGUGUUUAGUAGACAUUAUGUUUAAUAUUAGCAAUAGUAAUAAUAUUAAAAUUUGAGUUUGUACGCACGUUUGGUUGAUGAACCAUAAAUUUGCUUUGUAGUGGUUCAAACUCUUUUGGUGUUUUGUAGAAAUUUUUUUCUUAAUCUUUGAUGUGUGAUAAACCUUGAAUGGGGAUAAGAAUGUAAAUAAGAUCAUACUUUAGAAGAAAUAAAUCAAAAUCCCGGCAUAAGGUUUUGGUUUCCAUAACAAAUGAUCUUUUUAUUCUUUUUUUAAUUUGAAAAAAAAAAAUGAACCCUUGGACCCUUAGAUUCAGCCUCUCUCUCUUUUUUUUUUUCUUUUUUUUCUUUUUUUAUGGGAUCAUGGCCAUCUUUGGCUCUUAAAUCUUAGUUGCGAAUUGGCAAGAGAAUAUUUGUUGAUGACCCAAAGAAUAUGAUUUUAGUUGUUUAUUUUAGGUAUGGUAAAGACCCUUAGAUUCAGCCUCUUUUUUUUUUUUUUUUUUUCUUUUUUUAUGGGAUCAUGGCCAUCUUUGGCUCUUAAAUCUUAGUUGCGAAUUGGCAAGAGAAUAUUUGUUGAUGACCCAAAGAAUAUGAUUUUAGUUGUUUAUUUUAGGUAUGGUAAAAGCUAAAUGAAAUUUGUACCCUCCUUACGACAUAGAGAAUAACUAGGGUAUUCUUUGAAUUCAUUUGACAGUAAUUUUAAAGGAAGUAUUUCUAGUUUUUUUAAUAUUUAAAUGAUAAAAAUUUUCAAGUAUUAGAAAGAUUAGAAAUACUUCCUAAUAUCAUUGUCUACUCUUGAUCUUAGUGUUUUUUUAUAAAUGGGAUAAAAUAUCCAACUUGAUCCAUGAAUAAACUUGCCUUCAUCUUGAGAUUUGUCUUCUCUUUUUUCUUUUUUCAAAACAAAAAAGAAAAUGAUAGAGAAUGUAAAAUGCUAAAAUGAUUUUGGCUUUUAAAAAAUUAAGGUAUUAAAAAAAUUAAUUUAUACUACCUUAAAAUGCCAUCUUCAUUUUGUUAAUAUUUUUACUACCUUAAAAUUUAGAAUACUUAAAAAUUAUUUUUAAAUAUAAGUCUAUAAUUUUAUAUAAGAGUAAGUAUAUUUUAUAUAGAAAUUAUUAUGAAAAGAUGAAGAAUAUCUAAACCAAGCUUUGAAAUAUUUUAAUCCAUUUCAAGUAUUCUUCGUGUUCAUUACUUGAAAAUACACUAUGUUUCAAUAUNNNNNNNNNNNNNNNNNNNNNNNNNNNNNNNNNNNNNNNNNNNNNNNNNNNNNNNNNNNNNNNNNNNNNNNNNNNNNNNNNNNNNNNNNNNNNNNNNNNNNNNNNNNNNNNNNNNNNNNNNNNNNNNNNNNNNNNNNNNNNNNNNNNNNNNNNNNNNNNNNNNNNNNNNNNNNNNNNNNNNNNNNNNNNNNNNNNNNNNNNNNNNNNNNNNNNNNNNNNNNNNNNNNNNNNNNNNNNNNNNNNNNNNNNNNNNNNNNNNNNNNNNNNNNNNNNNNNNNNNNNNNNNNNNNNNNNNNNNNNNNNNNNNNNNNACUUGAAAAUACACUAUGUUUCAAUAUUUAAAUCUAAAUAAUUUAAAUUUGACAAAAAAAAAAAGAAAUUAUAUUGAAAAACCUAACCUAAAAAUAUUAUAAUCGAUAUUUUUAUCUAAUUUUCUAUUAAAAUUAUCUUAAAUUUCUUUUACUCCAUUUAUAUUCAUUUAUACCACAAUCAAUUGAAGCAUUGUUAUAAUAUGUGGAAUAAAUGAAAUAAAUCAUUCAAAUUUUUUAAAUAAGACUUUUGAAAGUUCUUUUUAAAAGUCUAUGAAAAAAAUUGUUUGCCAAUUUUUUUUAUUAGCUUGUUUAAAUUAUUUGAAUUUGUAAUUAUAAUUUUAUUUAUCAAAUACUAUUUUUAUUUAGAACUUAUAUUUUAUAAAUAUUAAAGAGUUUUUUUUUAUUAUUGUUUUAGAUAGUUUAGUUGUUUGUAAUUUCAAGACAACUUUUAUAUAUUUAUUACAUAAAUUAUUAUAUCUUAUAUAGAAGUUAGUACCAUUUUUUUUUCUAAAAAAAAUUAAAAUAUCCAAAUCAGCACUUAGUUAACAUAGAAUAAAAAAAAUGAAGAGAAGUUUCCAAGGUUCAGAUAUGUGUUAUGGCAAAGAGUUCAAUAAAAAUAUAUUUCCUUACAUUGGUUUAUCCCUUCAUUCUCAAAUUGUUUAAAAUAUGCAAGUGUUUUCCAUUAAAAAAAAAAGAGGGGGGGGAGGGGGAAAGAAACCUAUGAGAAUUAUACUUAGAGUUACGAAGUUACGACAAGGCUAACCAUUGAAAGGUGAAAUAAUAAGAAUCACUGGAAGGCCAAGAUAGUCUCUUAUUGAUUUAUGCCCUUGAGCAAACCCAUAAUUUAUGUGAUUUAUUUCUAAUGUAAAGUCAGAUAUAUGCUUGGGGCUAAGGUAAUCCUUCAUCGUCUUAUGAAGUGGUGCAGGCUCAAGCUAGCAUUGAUGUAAUAACUAUUGUUUAGGCAUUUUAUUGUAGAUUCAAAUUUUGGACUUCAACAACUUAACUUCAACAAAAAUCUCAACACAAAAUACAUGCAAUCCAAUGAAAUAAAAUAAAUAAAUAAAUAAAUAAUUUAACCUAAUGGAAUACAAUUCAUGUUCUAAAAUAAAAACAACUAAACAACGUCAAUCCCCCCCAAAAAAAAGUCACUUUCUUGACUACAAAUCUCUAUUAUAAUUAAAAUAUUAAAGUCCAAAUAUAUGAUAACUUUGGCCAAGAAAAACCAGAAAUAGAGUUACUAUAACUUUGUAAUAUUUUGGAUCGUCGUCCAUAAUCAACUCUAAUGUGUUUAGUUGUUUUUAUAUUAGAAUGAUUAAUUAUUUAAUACUUUAAUGAAACCCUACUUUAAAUAAAUAAGAAUAAAAUAUGGAUAGAGAUUUCCUAAAAUAAACCUAGUUAAACUAAAGAGUAAUUGUUGAUUUUUAAUUCAAUUAACAAGUUGGGGAGUUCCACAAUUCAACCUUAAGUGAAACAAGGGCAUAUAUUUUAAUUAAUCUUAUAGUAUUUAGAGUGCAUGGUUAAAUGAGAUCUAUCAAAGUUCUACAUCUCAAACUUAUCUGUUUUAAUAUUUUAUUCCAUUUUGUAUUACUUAAUAAAUAAAUGAAUAUAAAAUUUUGGUUUAGGUUUUUUAGGUUUUACUACUCUGUGUAAAUUUACCUUAGGGAAAAUAACAAUGAUAAAAUCCCUUAUAACUAUGGAUCAAGAAUUACCAAGAAGUUCUAGUAUUAAAGAAUGUGCAAUUGUACUAUGUAUUGCAUCAAACUAAUUUUGAAAGGUAUUUUGAUCUCAGUACUAAUAUCUUAACUUUUCAUUUAUUGCAUUAUUAGUCCAAUUUCACCAAUUAUUUCCUUUUAAAUCUAAUACUAAGUUUUCAUGUGAUUGUUAAGGUGAGGGACGUAAGUGAUUGAAGCAAAAAUAUGCGUCCUAAUCAAGGAUGAAAAUAUCGGUAAUUGUAGAUAUAUCGGUAAUUUAAGUUUAUAGAUAUGUCGGAUACGUAGGAGAUAUGUUGAUUAGAUAUUUUGACCCAAAAUAUCAUGAUUAAAAAUUAAUAAAAAUUCUAAAAAUAUUAUAAAAAAAAACUAUAUAAGAAGUAAAAAUAGACAUUUUAAAAUUAUUUUUUAAAAAUAUAAAUUUUAUAAGUACACAUUUAUUAUUAAGUUACACUAUAUUAUUUUACAAGAAUACUAUGAUAACAUGUUUAAUUUUAAAAUAUAUUUAAUAUUAACAUUAUGAUCCAUUUUAGUUUAAAUGUAUUUAAUGAUAUCAAAUAAAUAAGAAAAUAUGUAUAAUAUUUAUAUUUUUAUAUUUAAUAAAUAUAUAGAUUAUAUAAAAAAUAGAAAAUUAUGUUUUUAUAUUUUUGGUAAUAAAUUAAAUCAAAUGUAAAAAUAAAAUAAUUAGAAUUAAUCUUUAGUAUUCUUAUAUAUACAUUGUGGUGCAUUUUUUUUUUCUUUUUAUCAAAGAGCAACUUGCUUUGGUGGUUGCUACAAAUUCAACUUGACCAGCAGCCCGCAUUGACCAGAUCGAAACAAGCCGAAAAUUUGGCAAAAAAAAGGAAAAUAUCAAUGUAUAAAAAAAAACAAAAAAAUCGGGUCAUCGAUAUAUCCAUUUGAAAUUUAUAUCGAUAGAUCGUGAUACACGAUUUAUAGACAAUUACAAUGACAAAUUAUUGUACAUAUUUUAGUUCUAACCAUCUACAUCCCCUACAUUACUUAACAAUGGCAAAUUACAGUUACCCUCAAUUUGUAUAGGCAGUUCCCAACCAAGAAACUCAACACACACAUUAUAGUUUGUAUUAUGAUAGCACCAGGGAGAAAAAUGGAUUCUCUUGUGUAUUAGAAUCAUUCAGAUUAUUGCUGCAUUUCCCAAACACUUGACCAUGACAAAUGAAUAAAAACCCUCAACAUUUAUGUUUAGUCCUCAUGCUUGUAACACAUUUUGGUCUAUUCUAUGGUCAUGAAGGUGAAAAAUGAAGGUGGAUUCUCCUAUUUACUAGACUCCCCCACAAUAUGUUUCGAGCCCCCAUAUUAUGCCUGUGUCCUCGCAUUACUUAACAGCGUCAAAUCUUUAAAUUAUUUGAUUGUUGUGGUCAUAAGUUUCUAAUGUUUCAUAUAAUUUUUAAAGAAUUUAUAAAGGAUGCAUUAACCGGAAAUGAUCAUGUUUCAAUCUUCUCAAUCGAAUCCCCAAAUUAUUUGACCGUUUUGUGAUUAUAAAUUUUUAUCUUUUCAUGAGCUGUUUGUCACCUUUUAUUCCCAAAAUACCCUUGUGAAAACUAAAAACCUAAAAAUUAUUGGGAGAAUUAUGUUUUGGGGGUAAAUGGACCCCAAAUUAACAAAAGGUCCAUAUAAUUCUUCAAAUUGAGCCCAAGACCCAAUGAAAGUAUGGAAAUUGAGUUGAAGGAUAUCAUCCUUCAAUAUUUUAAAAAAUACCCUUUGUUGAUUUUGAGAAAAAAAUUUUAAUAUUUUUGAAAAAUACUUUUAUGUAAUUUAAUAUUUUUUAAAUACUUUUAUUUAAUUUAAUAUUUUUUUAAAAUAAAUUUAUUUAAUUUAAAAUUUUAAAAAAUAAAUUUAUUUAAUUUAAUAUUUUAAAAAAAUAAAUUUAUUUAAUUUAAUAUUUUUGAAAACUACUUUUAUUUAAUUUAGUAUUUUUGAAAAAAAAAAUUAUUGAAAAAAAAUUAUUUAACUUAAUUUUAUAAAAUAUUUUAUAUGUGUUCUUAAAGGGUAUAUUUGUCCGUUAUUAUUUCAUAUCCUUCAACUCAAUUUGAAGAGUUAUAUGGACAUUUUGUUAAUUUGGGGACCUAUCUACCCCCAAAAGAUAAUUCUCCCAAAAUUAUUUAGAAAAAAAAACUUUUCCACCCAACAUCCCAAGUCAUUACAAUUUGUGGUGCAAUCUUCAAUCUCCUCAAUUCAAAAUCUAUGAAUUAUUUGACUGUUUUGUGGUUAUAAAUUCUAUCCAUUUGAUAUGAUUUUUAAAAAAUAUUUAAAGGAUGCAAUUACCAUUGAAAGCUAUAUUUCAAUCUUUCUCAAUUAAAUCUACAAAUUAUUUGAUUAUUUUGUGAUUAUAAAUUCCUAUUGAGGAAAAGUACGAGUUUACUUGUUCAAAAUACCAAUAAAUCACAUUUGAAAUUGUAGGAGCCAUGAUUAAGAAUUUGACUCAAAUCAUCUUAAAAGUUAAAAGUUACACUUGUUUUUCAAAUAAUGUUUUUAUUAUUUGAGAAGAUCAUUCAAAUCAAGUUUAACUAAGAUGAAAAAUAGAAAUAUUUACUAUUAUUGAAAAAUAUAAAGCUCAUAUUUGAAAAUUCUAUCCAAAUAACCUUUAAAGUUACGUGUUUUAACAAGAAUUAAAUUUGAAAAUAACGAUUAUAUAUUCAAAAUGAUUAAUUUCAUUCAUCUUUAUGAGGUUUGAGUUAAAUAUACUAAGUUAUCGGUAGUUGAAAUUUUAUCAAAUACCUUUUAUAUCUUUCUUAAAUGAAAUCUCAAACUCUUGUUAACCGAGUGUAUUUAGACCAAAUCCUAAAAAAAUGUGAGUGAAAUCUACUUAUGUUCAAAAUUGAAGAUGCAAAUAAGGAGAAUACAUAAAGACUAAAAUGAAAAUAUUAGUCCAAUAAAUAAAUAAUUUAAUUUAAUUGUAUAAAUUUGAUAGAAUAUGAAUCUAAAUCAUUUUGGGUAUACUUAAUUAAUUAAAUAAAAACUAUAUAAAUUUAAAAAAUUAAAUUACUUUUGAAAUCCAAAACCCUACUUCAACCUAAUUAAACUCAUCAUGGAUUGAAAACCAUCAAAAGUGGAAGUGGGCUUGUUGCAAAAAUUUGAUUGAGCCGGCUUACAGCCCAAUAAUUCAAAAAUUGGCCCGGCCCAGUCUCAGCCCUUUAUAUCACCCGACUCAACUCACCCCCAUCGAAUGCCCCUUUAGGGUUUGCUUGCGAUGAAGAAGCGCCGCCGAUCUGAUUUCUCACAAAAGCAUUCAGAUUCCGUCCCCAAAUGCUACGUUUCGGUAGAUCUCUCAGUAUUGGGUACUCUUCCUAUCUUUAUCCCCAAUUCAAUCAAUCAAUUUCUAGUUUCGAUGUAAUCGUUUGGAUGCUGAGAAAAUAACGAGAAAAUGAAAGAAAGUUUUUGAAUCGUUAAAUUUUCAUCAUCUAGGGCUUCACCUAGAUCUCACAUGACUUUGGCCUAGCUGAUUUGAGUUGUUUAAUUUUUAAUUUGUUUUUUCUGUUUGUUUGUUUUGAUUUCUGGUAACAAAGAAAUUGCUGAGAGAUAACAUAGUAAUCAAUUUUUUUAUUUUAUUUUAUUUAUACUUUGUUCUUCAUUUUCUAGUUAACCAAACACAGAGUCGGAUUUCCUGCUUAUUUGAAUUGAGUUUCUUCCCUUUUUUUUUUAACCUCUAUUUGAAUACUUUCAUAUUCAAAAUAUCUUUUCGACCCCAUUUCUUAACUAUGCUGAGCAGCCAACCUAAUAGGAAUGGAUCAUGUUUCUGGUAUUUUCCUUAGGUUGGAAUGAUUUAGUCUCUUAUGUUUUGUCAAUUAAAAUACCCAAAUUGUAAUGUUGUUUCUCAUUGGAUCUUUGAUAAAUAUAUUUUCUUUGAUGUAUGAGAACAUUUUUAUGAUUUAUGGAGACGAGUGAUAGCAUCAUUGUGUUGAAAUAUUAAGUGAUGGCAUGUGGCUGGACUUCUCGAUAUUGUAAUUGAAAUUAAAUAUUUAUCGUUCUUUUUUCUUUAUAUUUUUCAAUUUAGGUUUGCUUCUUACGAGUGAGAAGUACCAUGGCAUGAGUGGAGUCGGAAAAAGGUAUGAAUAAUUGUACGUCUUUUACUGAAUUAAGUGGAAUAAUGCUUUAUAAGUUCAUAUAAUAUAUUUUUGCUUGGGAGACAUUAUAUUCAACAUUAGCAAUAGUAAUAUACACAUGUGGCAAAUGUAUCAUAAAUUUGUUUUGUAGUUUUCAAACAUUUUUUCUUCUUCUGAUUUUUAGUUUUUCAAAGGAAUUCUUGCUAGGUAUCAUUGAUUUCUUUGGCCUAAUUUCCCAAAUAUAAGGCUAUUUCUUGAAGUCUUGAUUAACAUGCUACUACUUAUGGACAUUAUUAGCCUUUAUUAUAUUUGGUUUCCUUUUGCAAUAUUUUGUUAUUACCAUAAGUCUAGUUAUUUAUAAGCUAAAGACCAAAUGAAAUUUGACUAGUUUUGAACUUGAAAUUGUCCAUGUUGAAUAUUUUCUCUUAAUCUCUGAUGUUCGGGUUAUAAACCUUGAAUGGGAUGGCGAGGAUAAUGGUUAAGAACAUUUUCUAAUUUUUGCUUGGAAAGCAAUUGAACAAAAAACAAAAAAGGAGAAAAGGGAGGGAAAUGGAGAAUGAUAAGAUAUAUUGACUUUGGAAAAUUAAAUGAAAUUCACUUCUCAUCCAUUUCAAACUUGGCCUAUUAUUGUCAAAAAUUAAAAGGAAAAGUGUUGUAAGUUAUAGUAAUGCUAGCACAUGUGUUCUUAGGUGUCUGCUUUCAACCUAGAGAUUCAACCAUUUUUUUUUUUAAUGGGACCAUGGUCAUCUUUGGCUCUUAAUCUUUUCCUUUAAUUGGAAAGGGAACUUCAUAAGCUGAGCAGUGGCAAUUUGCUGAUGACCCAAAGAAUAUGAUUUUAUGUUGGGAGUUGUUUGUUUUAGUUGGAUAAGCUAAACGAAAGUUGUUGUCUCCUUAAUAUGGACAUAUAGACUAUCUUGCACACUUGGUUGAUUUAGGGCAUUCCCUCCCCUUAUAGAUUCACAAUNN